CCAAACUUGGUCAUUUAGAGGAAGUAAAAGUCGUAACAAGGUUUCCGUAGGUGAACCUGCGGAAGGAUCAUUAAAAAAACUUUUUGCCCGGGACCUCCGCGUCCGGGGCAGAAAAAAAAAACCCACACUAUGUGCACCGUUACCGUUUUCUUUGGCAGGGGCUUGGGGUGUUCUCGCACCUCAACUUCUUCUCUAGCUCCAUCCCAAUGUUAUAAUCCUUUCGUUUGGGACAGCCGGACAUGGGAAGCUGUACCCUGCCAAGUGACCCCAAAUCACUCUUUUUUUUUGUUGUCUAAAACUUUUGCAUUUUUAAAAUAAAACCAAACAUAACUUUCAACAACGGAUCUCUUGGCUCUCGCAUCGAUGAAGAACGCAGC
RNAcentral lists this unclassified non-coding RNA (377 nucleotides) under uncultured fungus. Its description in RNAcentral is "partial contains small subunit ribosomal RNA, internal transcribed spacer 1, and 5.8S ribosomal RNA". The stretch from base 1 to 73 matches the Rfam family "Eukaryotic small subunit ribosomal RNA", at positions 1759 to 1831 of the family's 1831-position model. The record is from RNAcentral. Lineage: Eukaryota; Fungi.